CCCUUAGAUGUUCUGGGCCGCACGCGCGCUACAAUGGCAAACUCAGCGAGUCUCCUUUACCGACAGGUAUAGGAAAUCUUUUCAGUGUUUGCCGUGAUGGGGCUAGACCCUUGUAAUUAUUGGUCUCCAACGAGGAAUUCCUAGUAAACGCAGGUCAUUAACCUGCAUUGAUUACGUCCCUGCCCUUUGUACACACCGCCCGUCGCACCUACCGAUUGAAUGGUCCGGUGAAGUCUCCGGACUGAGUACUUCUAGUACUUGGGAAGUUGACUAAACCUUACUAUUUAGAGGAAGGUGAAGUCGUAACA
Molecule: ribosomal RNA, 308 nt
Filed under: uncultured eukaryote
Lineage: Eukaryota
Description: partial 18S ribosomal RNA
Rfam family: Eukaryotic small subunit ribosomal RNA
Source: RNAcentral